Molecule: ribosomal RNA, 253 nt
Filed under: uncultured bacterium
Lineage: Bacteria
Description: partial 16S ribosomal RNA
Rfam family: Bacterial small subunit ribosomal RNA
Source: RNAcentral
UACAGAGGAUGCAAGCGUUAUCCGGAAUGAUUGGGCGUAAAGCGUCUGUAGGUGGCUUUUUAAGUCCGCCGUCAAAUCCCAGGGCUCAACUCUGGACAGGCGGUGGAAACUACCAAGCUGGAGUACGGUAGGGGCAGAGGGAAUUUCCGGUGGAGCGGUGAAAUGCGCAGAUAUCAGGAAGAACACCCGUGGCGAAGGCGGCUCUCUGGGACGUUACUGACACUGAGGCGCGAAAGCGUGGGGAGCGAACAGG